This 425-nucleotide long non-coding RNA is filed under the name Macaca mulatta (Rhesus monkey). RNAcentral describes it as "lncRNA (ENSMMUG00000057677.1)". The record is from RNAcentral. Lineage: Eukaryota; Metazoa; Chordata; Mammalia; Primates; Cercopithecidae.
UUUAUGAAUUCCAAUUUUUAGUUACUACUCUAUGACUUUACUUGUAUAGGUUUAAUAUAAGAAUCCAGAUUUCUGUUAACUGCCAGAAAGUAACUUAAUAGAUUAAAAUUGUAGCAGUUUGGGCAAUUUUAUGGAAUUUUGCAGAACAACCCUUUAACUACAUUUCAUUAUAGUUAUUGCUUUCAGACUUUACAUUUGAAAUAUGAAAAUGCUUAAAAAUUAACAUUCACACCAUAUGAAUGUUGACUGAAAUGGCUGUUUUUAUUCUGGUAUACAUUUGAGUAGGUCCAGGCCUAAAACAAAAAGAAAAGAAAAAAGAAUGAGUGUUCUUCUAACAGAGGAGGAGACAAUUGCAUUACACCACAUCACACCGCGAGGGUAGAGGAGCACACAGGGAAGCACUGUAGUUGAUGCAGAGAAGAGGU